Molecule: non-coding RNA, 135 nt
Organism: Triticum urartu
Lineage: Eukaryota; Viridiplantae; Streptophyta; Magnoliopsida; Poales; Poaceae
Source: Rfam
UUAGUACUCCCUCCGUCCGAAAAUACUUGUCAUCAAAAUGGAUAGAAAAGGAUGUAUCUAGAACUAAAAUACAUCUAGAUACAUCCCCUUUUAUUCAUUUUGAUGACAAGUAUUUCCGGACGGAGGGAGUAGUAU